UACGUAAGGUGCAAGCGUUAAUCGGAAUUACUGGGCGUAAAGCGUGCGCAGGCGGUUUUGUAAGUUUGUCGUGAAAGCCCCGGGCUCAACCUGGGAAUUGCGAUGAAGACUGCAAGGCUUGAAUCUGGCAGAGGGGGGUAGAAUUCCACGUGUAGCAGUGAAAUGCGUAGAGAUGUGGAGGAACACCGAUGGCGAAGGCAGCCCCCUGGGUCAAGAUUGACGCUCAUGCACGAAAGCGUGGGGAGCAAACAGG
This 253-nucleotide ribosomal RNA is filed under the name uncultured bacterium. RNAcentral describes it as "partial 16S ribosomal RNA". It matches the Rfam family "Bacterial small subunit ribosomal RNA", at positions 524 to 776 of the family's 1533-position model. The record is from RNAcentral.